Molecule: ribosomal RNA, 393 nt
Filed under: uncultured bacterium
Lineage: Bacteria
Description: partial 16S ribosomal RNA
Rfam family: Bacterial small subunit ribosomal RNA
Source: RNAcentral
AUACGGAGGAUCCGAGCGUUAUCCGGAUUUAUUGGGUUUAAAGGGAGCGUAGGCGGACGCUUAAGUCAGUUGUGAAAGUUUGCGGCUCAACCGUAAAAUUGCAGUUGAUACUGGGUGUCUUGAGUACAGUAGAGGCAGGCGGAAUUCGUGGGGUAGCGGGGGAAUGCUUAGAUAUCACGAAGAACUCCGAUUGCGAAGGCAGCCUGCUGGACUGUAACUGACGCUGAUGCUCGAAAGUGUGGGUAUCAAACAGGAUUAGAUACCCUGGUAGUCCACACAGUAAACGAUGAAUACUCGCUGUUUGCGAUAUACAGUAAGCGGCCAAGCGAAAGCGUUAAGUAUUCCACCUGGGGAGUACGCCGGCAACGGUGAAACUCAAAUGAAUUGACGGGG